RNAcentral lists this small RNA (29 nucleotides) under Bombyx mori (domestic silkworm). Its description in RNAcentral is "ovarian small RNA-14975". The record is from RNAcentral. Lineage: Eukaryota; Metazoa; Arthropoda; Insecta; Lepidoptera; Bombycidae.
CUUACCGCUAAGAGCCGGGUUGCUCCCAU